Molecule: ribosomal RNA, 880 nt
Filed under: Microbacterium paraoxydans
Lineage: Bacteria; Bacillati; Actinomycetota; Actinomycetes; Micrococcales; Microbacteriaceae
Description: bacterial SSU rRNA
Rfam family: Bacterial small subunit ribosomal RNA
Source: RNAcentral
GCCUUCGGUAGGCUGGUUUUGUUCGGGUUUUGCUGUGAAAAUCCCCGAGGGCUUCAACCCUCCGCGGCCUGGCAGUUGGGUUACGGGCCAGACUUAGAGUUGCGGUUAGGGGGAGAUUGGAAUUCCUGGUUGUAGCGGUGGAAUGCGCAGAUAUCAGGAGGAACACCGAUGGCGAAGGCAGAUCUCUGGGCCGUAACUGACGCUGAGGAGCGAAAGGGUGGGGAGCAAACAGGCUUAGAUACCCUGGUAGUCCACCCCGUAAACGUUGGGAACUAGUUGUGGGGUCCAUUCCACGGAUUCCGUGACGCAGCUAACGCAUUAAGUUCCCCGCCUGGGGAGUACGGCCGCAAGGCUAAAACUCAAAGGAAUUGACGGGGACCCGCACAAGCGGCGGAGCAUGCGGAUUAAUUCGAUGCAACGCGAAGAACCUUACCAAGGCUUGACAUAUACGAGAACGGGCCAGAAAUGGUCAACUCUUUGGACACUCGUAAACAGGUGGUGCAUGGUUGUCGUCAGCUCGUGUCGUGAGAUGUUGGGUUAAGUCCCGCAACGAGCGCAACCCUCGUUCUAUGUUGCCAGCACGUAAUGGUGGGAACUCAUGGGAUACUGCCGGGGUCAACUCGGAGGAAGGUGGGGAUGACGUCAAAUCAUCAUGCCCCUUAUGUCUUGGGCUUCACGCAUGCUACAAUGGCCGGUACAAAGGGCUGCAAUACCGUGAGGUGGAGCGAAUCCCAAAAAGCCGGUCCCAGUUCGGAUUGAGGUCUGCAACUCGACCUCAUGAAGUCGGAGUCGCUAGUAAUCGCAGAUCAGCAACGCUGCGGUGAAUACGUUCCCGGGUCUUGUACACACCGCCCGUCAAGUCAUGAAAGUCGGUAACACC